GGCGAAAUACGUGCAUGGGUGAGCGGGAAGACGUAGGGGGCUAGCGUGAUCCGGAAUUACUGGGCGUAAAGGGUGCGUAGGUGGUUUCUUAAGUCAGAGGUGAAAGGCUACGGCGCAACCGUAGUAAGCCUUUGAAACUGGGAAACUUGAGUGCAGGAGAGGAGAGUGGAAUUCCUAGUGUAGCGGUGAAAUGCGUAGAUAUUAGGAGGAACACCAGUUGCGAAGGCGGCUCUCUGGACUGUAACUGACACUGAGGCACGAAAGCGUGGGGAGCAAACAGGAUUAGAUACCCGGGUAGUC
Molecule: ribosomal RNA, 300 nt
Filed under: uncultured Lactobacillus sp.
Lineage: Bacteria; Bacillati; Bacillota; Bacilli; Lactobacillales; Lactobacillaceae
Description: bacterial SSU rRNA
Rfam family: Bacterial small subunit ribosomal RNA
Source: RNAcentral